AGUCGUGGCUCUUUUGAUCUGCAGUUGAAUUGCUGGAGACCUUGGGAAGUGUCCAGGCUUUAACAGGAGCAGUGUCCUUUGCUCUGUCUUCAGUUGAUCAGCUUUCUACUGACCCCAAAGCCCAGGAGAAGCUCAGUAUCAUUUCAGGAUUUUGAAGAACAGAUCAUCUCCUUUUGCAGUUACUCCAUAAGCAGCUACUGCAGUCAAAGCACUGUUCCAAGGCUGUUCUCAGUGGAUGCUGCCAAUUUAUCCUGGAAGAAUACAAGAGACAGCUCUGCAGCUUCGUGACAAAGGUUUAAUUCAGCUUCACACAGCCCUGAUUUCAAUUUACACAGAGAUACCCUGCUCCAGUCACUCCGUGUUUCUUAUCAGGGCAGAUUCCACGUUGGCUGAAUAACUUGUUAUGAAUCUCCUGCAGCUGCCUCGAGUCCUGGUAACCACAACCAACUUUUCUAAUAAACAUCUCCCCACGUUCUGAACACUCA
Cyanistes caeruleus (blue tit) is the source of this 485-nucleotide non-coding RNA. The record is from RefSeq and is a predicted model, not a curated record. NCBI's taxonomy places the organism in Eukaryota, Metazoa, Chordata, Aves, Passeriformes, Paridae.